CAAAAUUCAAAAUCAAUUGAAACAAUUAAAGGUACUGAUUGGCUCCGCCACCAUGUAUUACAUACCCUUAAAACCCAACAUACGUGGGUGAAAAUCAAACCUGGGUUUUGAAACUCAAACUCACACCAAUACAUUCUCCUCUCUAUCUCUCCUAAAUCAAGAAGUAGAUAAUGUUUAAUGGCUUGAUUUGAAGAUGUUUAGGUGAUUCUCAGAUUCGUAUGAAUUCAUCCGGGACCCUUCAACACUUGUUUCUGGCUAGAUCACAUUCAUGGAGGUAUAAUAUGCCACUACAAUAGAUUCGACUUUUGAAGUCAAGAAAUAUAGGGCUUGGGUUGGGGCGUGGCUUGGCAGUUUAUUAAAAAAAAAAGCGAAUAGGACAUGGCCAACACAGCGAAUAGGAGCCAGCCAUAUAGGAUUGCUAGCCCACCCCACGCCCGACUUCAAACUCCCGCCCCUUGGGCCACGCCCCAACCCAAGCACCCGGGGUGGUGGCUUGGGCGUUUUCAGCCAAUAUCUAAGAAAGUUGAAGUAUGUCUACUUAGUGACUAUUUUAACACUUUUAUGCUACUUUUUGUAUUACUCUGCAUCAUGAGCUACGGUAAAGCAAUCACAUAUUACUAAAAGGCUCUUGCAUUAUCAACAAGAUGCUUAAGCAUGUAUGCUGGCUUGGCAUAUACGUAUCACUUGCAGGUAACUUGGACGUUUACAUUAUGGCUAAAGUUAUGUGCUGGAAGGCUGAUGUGGACACGAGCUUUUAGGUAAAACGGGUCAGGCAACAAUUGGAAAGACAACUGGAUAUGAAAACCCCAGAGAACGAUUUAUCCAGGAUAUUCCAACAGUUGUGGCAUAGAGGGAGAGUGUAACACCUCGAAAUUUUGUGUCCAAUAAUGUGUUAACACGUGUCAUGAGUUUACACGUGGCAUUAAAUAUUAAAUAAAGGACU
Molecule: long non-coding RNA, 943 nt
Organism: Helianthus annuus (common sunflower)
Lineage: Eukaryota; Viridiplantae; Streptophyta; Magnoliopsida; Asterales; Asteraceae
Exons: 5
Source: RefSeq, a predicted model, not a curated record